RNAcentral lists this ribosomal RNA (609 nucleotides) under uncultured bacterium. RNAcentral's name for it is "bacterial SSU rRNA". The stretch from base 1 to 527 matches the Rfam family "Bacterial small subunit ribosomal RNA", at positions 338 to 873 of the family's 1533-position model. The record is from RNAcentral.
CCUACGGGAGGCAGCAGUGGGGAAUAUUGGACAAUGGGGGAAACCCUGAUCCAGCAAUGCCGCGUGAGUGAUGAAGGCCUUAGGGUUGUAAAGCUCUUUUACCAGGGAUGAUAAUGACAGUACCUGGAGAAUAAGCUCCGGCUAACUCCGUGCCAGCAGCCGCGGUAAUACGGAGGGAGCUAGCGUUGUUCGGAAUUACUGGGCGUAAAGCGCACGUAGGCGGUUACUCAAGUCAGAGGUGAAAGCCCGGGGCUCAACCCCGGAACUGCCUUUGAAACUAGGUAACUGAAUCCUGGAGAGGUGAGUGGAAUUCCGAGUGUAGAGGUGAAAUUCGUAGAUAUUCGGAAGAACACCAGUGGCGAAGGCGGCUCACUGGACAGGUAUUGACGCUGAGGUGCGAAAGCGGUGGGGAGCAAACAGGAUUAGAUACCCUGGUAGUCCACGCCGUAAACGAUGAUAACUAGCUGUCCCGGGUCACUAGUGGUGUUGGGUUGGGUCGGCGAGCUACGACAUUAAGUUAUUCCGUCCGUCGGGUAGGUACGGUCGGCGAGAAUUAAACUAACAAGAAGUAGUAGCGNGNGAGNGCGACGACGACGACGACGGAGGAGG